RNAcentral lists this long non-coding RNA (236 nucleotides) under Lathyrus oleraceus (garden pea). RNAcentral describes it as "Pisum sativum (pea) long non-coding RNA (PSAT_LNC032671)". Lineage: Eukaryota; Viridiplantae; Streptophyta; Magnoliopsida; Fabales; Fabaceae. The record is from RNAcentral.
AUUAAGUUCCUCUUGCAUUGCUAAAAACCAAUGUUCAUCGAGAAUAGCAUCUUUGGAAUUUUUAUGCUCAAUUUUAGAGACAAAAGCAAAAUGAUAACAAAAGUUACUUAUCUUUGACCGUGUGGUGGCUCCCUUUACGAUAUCUCAUAGAAUAUUAUCGAUGGGAUGAUCCUUAGAAGAUUUCCAUUCCAAAGGAAGAUCGUUGUUAUUAAUUGGAUGAUCCUCCUCUUUAUUUU